RNAcentral lists this long non-coding RNA (502 nucleotides) under Nicotiana tabacum (common tobacco). RNAcentral's name for it is "long non-coding RNA (NTAB_LNC008816)". The record is from RNAcentral. Lineage: Eukaryota; Viridiplantae; Streptophyta; Magnoliopsida; Solanales; Solanaceae.
UUCGUUUCAAAUUUCAAUCUUCCCAUUAAUUUUCAGUUAUCAUUCUUAUAUUUUAUUCUCUUUUCCUAGGCCGUUGCUUAUAUGCCCUUAACAGACGGACAUCUAUAGCGUCUUCUCCCAGAAACUCACAAAUCGUGCGUAUGGCGCCGGAAAAAAGAGAAGGUGACUCGUGUUCUCCUCUCGAUUUCCCUAUACUGACCUUCAAAAACUCCAUUGUCUUUUGUUAUUUAACUCUAUUUUCAGUUGUCUUCCUGUUUGGAUAAUGUAUAUUGUGUCCGAUUGGAAAUUUUCUGAUAAUGUUUUUUUCUCCAUUGUAAGCCUUUGCCUUCAGUUAGCAAUCACAUCCUUUUUGUUUGUGCAAUAAAGUUAAGAUUUUUAUGUCUCCUUAUUUCUUAUUUGAUUGCUUUCUUACAAUUUUAGAUCUUUUGAUUUCGUGUUUUUGUCAAAAUAGCAGAUUAUUGAUGGACAUGUCCCCCUUUUAGGGUUUUCUAGAUGAAUUCAG